RNAcentral lists this long non-coding RNA (363 nucleotides) under Neogale vison (American mink). RNAcentral's name for it is "Neovison vison (American mink) lncRNA (ENSNVIG00000023262.1)". The record is from RNAcentral. Lineage: Eukaryota; Metazoa; Chordata; Mammalia; Carnivora; Mustelidae.
CACGUCUCUGCGUGCGCGUCACCGGGCCCGUUCCGCUGGCUCCUCAGGCCGUGCCCUCUCACUGCGCAGGCGCGACGUCACCUCGGCGCCAGCAGGGACUACCUCCCUUGUCUCCGGGCCCAGGGAAAGGCUACGGCUUCCCCAGUGGCCUUGGAGCAGGAUUUGGGAACGGGAAUGGGCUGGGAGCCCAGCCAGGCACUGGGGGGGGUGUGAAACCCCAGAAGCCAGGGUUUGGAAACGGGCUGGCAAUGGGGACCUUCCCAGGUGCUGUCGCCCAGCCAGGUUUUGGAGGGGGUGUGAGACCCCAGAAGCCAGGCCCUGUGGCUCAGAAUGGUGGCCAGGCACCAGGUACGGGCUGGGGGC